GAUGAGAACGUAGCGAAAUGCGAUAAGUAGUGUGAAUUGCAGAAUUCAGUGAAUCAUCGAAUCUUUGAACGCACAUUGCGCCCCUUGGUAUUCCAUGGGGCAUGCCUGUUCGAGCGUCAUUUGUACCCUCAAGCUUUGCUUGGUGUUGGGUGUUUGUCCCGCGCUCUUUUGCGCAAGACUCGCCUUAAAUCAAUUGGCAGCCGGCAUGUUAGCCUGGAGCGCAGCACAAUUUGCGCCCCUUGCUUGCUUGUGUUGGCCCCCAUCAAGUCCAUAUAUUUGCUCUUGACCUCGGAUCAGGUAGGGAUACCCGCUGAACUUAAGCAUAUCAAUAAGCGGAGGA
RNAcentral lists this unclassified non-coding RNA (340 nucleotides) under soil metagenome. RNAcentral describes it as "partial contains 5.8S ribosomal RNA, internal transcribed spacer 2, and large subunit ribosomal RNA". The stretch from base 5 to 119 matches the Rfam family "5.8S ribosomal RNA", at positions 40 to 154 of the family's 154-position model. The record is from RNAcentral.